GAUGAACGCUAGCGAUAGGCUUAACACACGCAAGUCGAGGGGCAGCACAAGGUAGCUUGCUAUCUGGGUGGCGACCGGCGCACGGGUGCGUAACGCGUAUGCAACUUGCCCUAUACAGGAGGAUAACCCGUCGAAAGACGGACUAAUACUGCGUAUGCUCACAACUUGGCAUCAAGUGGUGAGGAAAGAAAUUCGGUAUAGGAUAGGCAUGCGUCCCAUUAGCUUGUUGGUGAGGUAACGGCUCACCAAGGCAACGAUGGGUAGGGGAACUGAGAGGUUUAUCCCCCACACUGGUACUGAGACACGGACCAGACUCCUACGGGAGGCAGCAGUGAGGAAUAUUGGUCAAUGGGCGCGAGCCUGAACCAGCCAAGUCGCGUGAAGGAUGACUGUCUUAUGGAUUGUAAACUUCUUUUAGACGGGAAUAACAAGAGUCACGUGUGACUCCCUGCAUGUACCGUAUGAAUAAGCAUCGGCUAACUCCGUG
Molecule: ribosomal RNA, 487 nt
Filed under: uncultured bacterium
Lineage: Bacteria
Description: partial 16S ribosomal RNA
Rfam family: Bacterial small subunit ribosomal RNA
Source: RNAcentral